Long non-coding RNA from Suricata suricatta (meerkat), 904 nucleotides. The record is from Ensembl. Lineage: Eukaryota; Metazoa; Chordata; Mammalia; Carnivora; Herpestidae.
GUCAGAUUCAGAUGACGAGGUCUUGAUGGUUUUAUAGUCUGUUAAUUGUACGUUGAAAGUAAUCUGGUGCUUAGUAAAUAAUUGUACACUUUUUCAAUGUGCGCUUAAUAAGGAUUUUGGUAAUUUUUUAUAUUUACAGUCAAAACCUAGUUUUAACCAAUUAGUCUAAUAUUCCACAUCUUCUUUCUCCUCUUAUGUGGUCUUUUUACCUAGUGGGCUGUGAACUAGUUCCCAGUCAAGUAUGUAUAUAUUUCCUUUGUCCUCUCUCUGAAAAUGACCAAGAAUGAGUUGGAUUACUGUGGAACCUUGUUGAAAGACAGCCCAUCUGUUCAUAUUUGGGUUCCACUGAACACGUUGAUCUACAUCUUCUGUUUUUACUGGACUUUGUGGGCUUAUAAGUAAUUUCUACUUCUCCCUAUUCCCUUUUUUGAGUUUCCUCAGAUCUGAAUCAAAGCUCUGUCCUCUCCACAGAGCGACCCAUAGGAAAACAAGAGGAUACAGUACCCAGAGUCCAGCCGUCACCUCCCCAGAUAUUUAAACAACUCUCCAGUUCCUCAGACUCUUCCACUCACCCAAGACGGCAAAAGAUUGAAUUUCUUCAUCACAGUACAUGCAUAUAACAGGCAGAGAGCAAAGCUUGGUAAUCACCUUGGCAUUGCCUGUCUCUGUGAUGCUGAAGACAUUCUCCUUUCUGUGCACUUCAGAAGAGGUUCUGAUUUCCAGAGUCUGUAAGCUUUGGAAGAUGCUAGUUGAGCGUUCUGUGCUAUGGAGACAAGUACCUGACACCGUACUGGAAGAUCCGUCUAUCCAGAAGACCAGGAAAGACAGAAUUAUACACAUGGAAGACACCAAAUGUAAAAAUGCGGGCUCCGGAAGCUGUGGAGAGUGGUUUGCAGAUGAGUAA